AUACGGAGGAUCCGAGCGUUAUCCGGAUUUAUUGGGUUUAAAGGGAGCGUAGGUGGGAUAUUAAGUCAGCUGUGAAAGUUUGGGGCUCAAACUUAAAAUUGCAGUUGAUACUGGUUUCCUUGAGUACGGUAUAGGUGGGCGGAAUUCGUGGUGUAGCGGUGAAAUGCUUAGAUAUCACGAAGAACUCCGAUCGCGAAGGCAGCUCACCGGGCCGGAACUGACACUGAUGCUCGAAAGUGCGGGUAUCAAACAGGAUUAGAUACCCUGGUAGUCCGCACAGUAAACGAUGAAUACUCGCUGUUUGCGAUACACUGUAAGCGGCCAAGCGAAAGCGUUAAGUAUUCCACCUGGGGAGUACGCCGGCAACGGUGAAACUCAAAUGAAUUGGCGGGU
This 393-nucleotide ribosomal RNA is filed under the name uncultured bacterium. RNAcentral describes it as "partial 16S ribosomal RNA". It matches the Rfam family "Bacterial small subunit ribosomal RNA", at positions 523 to 918 of the family's 1533-position model. The record is from RNAcentral.